UGUCGUUCUUGUCCUUCUUGGCAGCUUCAUUGUGCCAGCAUUCCGAGGAGUAGUGCCCAUAUUUGCUACAUGUGUAACAUUGAAUAUUUCGUUUGUCAAUUCCCUUUCUACCUCUUCCUCUCGUGUUUUUACCACCAUAGGUGCCUCCUUCUUGCUGUUCAUCAUUGAUUUCAUCAUCGUUUUGUUCUGUCAAUCUCUAAUUUCUUCCUCCGUUGCGACCUCCACCGCGCGAUCUCC
RNAcentral lists this long non-coding RNA (237 nucleotides) under Vigna radiata. RNAcentral describes it as "long non-coding RNA (VRAD_LNC006259)". Lineage: Eukaryota; Viridiplantae; Streptophyta; Magnoliopsida; Fabales; Fabaceae. The record is from RNAcentral.